RNAcentral lists this ribosomal RNA (492 nucleotides) under uncultured bacterium. Its description in RNAcentral is "partial 16S ribosomal RNA". It matches the Rfam family "Bacterial small subunit ribosomal RNA", at positions 29 to 507 of the family's 1533-position model. The record is from RNAcentral.
AGUGAACGCUGGCGGUAGGCCUAACACAUGCAAGUCGAACGGCAGCACAGUAAGAGCUUGCUCUUACGGGUGGCGAGUGGCGGACGGGUGAGGAAUACAUCGGAAUCUACUUUUUCGUGGGGGAUAACGUAGGGAAACUUACGCUAAUACCGCAUACGACCUACGGGUGAAAGCAGGGGAUCUUCGGACCUUGCGCGAUUGAAUGAGCCGAUGUCGGAUUAGCUAGUUGGCGGGGUAAAGGCCCACCAAGGCGACGAUCCGUAGCUGGUCUGAGAGGAUGAUCAGCCACACUGGAACUGAGACACGGUCCAGACUCCUACGGGAGGCAGCAGUGGGGAAUAUUGGACAAUGGGCGCAAGCCUGAUCCAGCUAUACCGCGUGGAUGAAGAAGGCCUUCGGGUUGUAAAGCCCUUUUGUUGGGAAAGAAGAGCAGCAGGUUAAUACCCCGCUGUUCUGACGGUACCCAAAGAAUAAGCACCGGCUAACUUCGUG